Oncorhynchus tshawytscha (Chinook salmon) is the source of this 347-nucleotide long non-coding RNA. Lineage: Eukaryota; Metazoa; Chordata; Actinopteri; Salmoniformes; Salmonidae. The record is from Ensembl.
GGUACAGAAAGGAACUAGUUAUUAUGGUUCUCAGUAUAUUGGUUGGACAGGUUGGUACAGAAAUGAACUAGUUAUUAUGGUUCUCAGUAUACUGGUUGGACAGGUUGGUACAGAAAUGAACUAGAUAUUAUGGUUCUCAGUAUACUGGUUGGACAGGUUGGUACAGAAAGGAACUAGUUAUUAUUGUUCUCAGUAUACUGGUUGGACAGGUUGGUACAGAAAGGAACUAGUUAUUAUGGUUCUCAGUAUACUGGUUGGACAGGUUGGUAUAGAAAGGGAUUGUAAGACCCUACUUAUUUUCCCACGAAGGUUGAAUAGGCAGAGAGCUCUGUAAAUAUUGUACAACA